UACGAAGGGGGCUAGCGUUGUUCGGAAUCACUGGGCGUAAAGCGCACGUAGGCGGAUUGUUAAGUCGGGGGUGAAAUCCUGAGGCUCAACCUCAGAACUGCCUUCGAUACUGGCAAUCUCGAGUCCGGAAGAGGUUGGUGGAACAGCUAGUGUAGAGGUGAAAUUCGUAGAUAUUAGCUAGAACACCAGUGGCGAAGGCGGCCAACUGGUCCGGUACUGACGCUGAGGUGCGAAAGUGUGGGGAGCGAACAGG
RNAcentral lists this ribosomal RNA (253 nucleotides) under uncultured bacterium. Its description in RNAcentral is "partial 16S ribosomal RNA". It matches the Rfam family "Bacterial small subunit ribosomal RNA", at positions 524 to 776 of the family's 1533-position model. The record is from RNAcentral.